Molecule: transfer RNA, 91 nt
Filed under: Clostridia bacterium
Lineage: Bacteria; Bacillati; Bacillota; Clostridia
Also listed under: 1 other name
Description: tRNA-Ser
Rfam family: tRNA
About the family: Transfer RNA (tRNA) molecules are approximately 80 nucleotides in length. Their secondary structure includes four short double-helical elements and three loops (D, anti-codon, and T loops). Further hydrogen bonds mediate the characteristic L-shaped molecular structure. tRNAs have two regions of fundamental functional importance: the anti-codon, which is responsible for specific mRNA codon recognition, and the 3' end, to which the tRNAs corresponding amino acid is attached (by aminoacyl-tRNA synthetases). tRNAs cope with the degeneracy of the genetic code in two manners: having more than one tRNA (with a specific anti-codon) for a particular amino acid; and 'wobble' base-pairing, i.e. permitting non-standard base-pairing at the 3rd anti-codon position.
Source: RNAcentral
GGAGAAGUACUCAAGUGGUCGAAGAGACACCCCUGCUAAGGGUGCAGGUCGGGAAACCGGCGCGAGAGUUCGAAUCUCUCCUUCUCCGCCA